RNAcentral lists this ribosomal RNA (268 nucleotides) under uncultured Paracoccaceae bacterium. Its description in RNAcentral is "uncultured Rhodobacteraceae bacterium partial 16S ribosomal RNA". It matches the Rfam family "Bacterial small subunit ribosomal RNA", at positions 8 to 303 of the family's 1533-position model. The record is from RNAcentral. Lineage: Bacteria; Pseudomonadati; Pseudomonadota; Alphaproteobacteria; Rhodobacterales; Paracoccaceae.
AGAGUUUGAUCAUGGCUCAGAAMGAACGCUGGCGGCAGGCCUAACACAUGCAAGUCGAGCGCUUCACUUCGGUGAGGAGCGGCGGACGGGUUAGUAACGCGUGGGAAUAUACCCAGUUCUAAGGAAUAGCCACUGGAAACGGUGAGUAAUACCUUAUACGCCCUUCGGGGGAAAGAUUUAUCGGAAUUGGAUUAGCCCGCGUUAGAUUAGAUAGUUGGUGAGGUAACGGCUCACCAAGUCUACGAUCUAUAGCUGGUUGAGAGGAUGA